Non-coding RNA from Trichonephila inaurata madagascariensis, 75 nucleotides. NCBI's taxonomy places the organism in Eukaryota, Metazoa, Arthropoda, Arachnida, Araneae, Nephilidae. The record is from the annotation of a GenBank genome assembly.
GAAGGGAUAGCUCAGUGGUGGAGCGUUCGGAUGCAGAUCGAGAGGUACCCGAUCCAAACCCGGAUGCUCCCUUCU